RNAcentral lists this long non-coding RNA (811 nucleotides) under Brassica napus (rape). RNAcentral describes it as "long non-coding RNA (BNAP_LNC020267)". The record is from RNAcentral. Lineage: Eukaryota; Viridiplantae; Streptophyta; Magnoliopsida; Brassicales; Brassicaceae.
CUUUUACUCCAUUUUAGAGGAAAAAAUGGAGUUUUACUCCAUUUUAGAAGAAAAAAUGGAGUUGGGACGGAGAUGCCUCAGUGGCAAUAGUAUUAUAAUACGCGUAGACAACGAGUAAUGUACCGAAAUUAGCUCAGUAAUCACAUUCACCAAACGAAAGAAGUGGGCCCCAUCAUUACAAAUACUUUAACCAAAUCAAACGGUGUAGAAAAGAGUUGUGUCCAUGAUCGUUACGGCCGGUGACUUCACACACCAUUUUAUUUUAUAUAGUUUGAUAUUCUGAAAUCUGUUAAUGAAUGUAAAUUUUGAUUCACAACGUCAUGCCAUCACAUAGUUCUGAAUAAGUUAAAACCUAAUCUUAUAACCUAGUCUUCUUAUAUUUAUCAAAAAGACAAUCAACUACAUAUACAUUAAUAUCUAUAAUUUUAAAUUCAAAAGGGCAAAGAACUAAUCUUGUUUAUUUCAUCUUUCCUUCUUAGCCUUUUUAACCCUUUCUUUCUUCGUUUAACACUUGAAUUUAAUUUUUUUUUUUAUACUAGAAAAUGAUUUGUGAAAACACUAACUAAAAUAGUGAAAAUCAGAGAUAUGAGACUGACCAGUAUAAAUUUUUUUAAUUUAAUUGGAAAUUAACAGAUAAUUAAUCUUUUCUUUCAGUAUGAUAUUGUGAAUAUUUAACUGUAAUAUAAACAUUCACCCGAGUACAGUAUUUUAAUAAGAAAAACCUAAGUCGAAGAAAAAUCAAUAAAACUAAAAUUUCACUAUCUAGUAAUUUUUAUUUAAUAUUCUAUUCAACUCUUAUAUAUACGUUAUU